RNAcentral lists this ribosomal RNA (112 nucleotides) under Triticum dicoccoides. RNAcentral describes it as "rRNA SSU_rRNA_eukarya". It matches the Rfam family "Bacterial small subunit ribosomal RNA", at positions 755 to 869 of the family's 1533-position model. Lineage: Eukaryota; Viridiplantae; Streptophyta; Magnoliopsida; Poales; Poaceae. The record is from RNAcentral.
GAAAGCAUGGGCAGCGAACAGGAUUAGAUACCCUGGUAGUCCAUGCCGUAAACGAUGAGCGUUCGCCCUUGGUCUACAUAGAUCAGGGGCCCAGCUAACACAUGAAACACUC